Molecule: non-coding RNA, 119 nt
Organism: Pteropus alecto (black flying fox)
Lineage: Eukaryota; Metazoa; Chordata; Mammalia; Chiroptera; Pteropodidae
Source: Rfam
GGCUGAGGCCAUGCCACCCUGAACGAGCCUGAUCCCGUCUGAUCUCGGAAGCUAAGCAGGGUUGGGCCUGGUUAGUACUUGGAUGAGAGACCACCUAGGAAGACCAGGUGCUGUAGGUG